AUGGUGCGGAGAGCAAGAGCAAUAAGCAUGUCACCAUCAAAUGAUAUCCCUCCUAAACCACCACUGUAUGGUCCUCGUCUUACCUUUGGUGCCCCACUGACUGUUCCAACAGGCAAUGCUGCUCGUAGUGCAUCCCAGCUUUCGAGAUGA
Molecule: ribosomal RNA, 150 nt
Filed under: Triticum aestivum (bread wheat)
Lineage: Eukaryota; Viridiplantae; Streptophyta; Magnoliopsida; Poales; Poaceae
Description: partial small subunit ribosomal RNA
Source: RNAcentral